RNAcentral lists this ribosomal RNA (451 nucleotides) under uncultured bacterium. RNAcentral describes it as "partial 16S ribosomal RNA". It matches the Rfam family "Bacterial small subunit ribosomal RNA", at positions 354 to 796 of the family's 1533-position model. The record is from RNAcentral.
GUGGGGAAUAUUGGACAAUGGGGGGAACCCUGAUCCAGCCAUGCCGCGUGUGUGAAGAAGGCCUUUUGGUUGUAAAGCACUUUAAGCGAGGAGGAGGCUACCGAGAUUAAUACUCUUGGAUAGUGGACGUUACUCGCAGAAUAAGCACCGGCUAACUUCGUGCCAGCAGCCGCGGUAAUACAGAGGGUGCAAGCGUUAAUCGGAUUUACUGGGCGUAAAGCGCGCGUAGGUGGCUAAUUAAGUCAAAUGUGAAAUCCCCGGGCUUAACUUGGGAAUUGCAUUCGAUACUGGUUAGCUAGAGUAUGGGAGAGGAUGGUAGAAUUCCAGGUGUAGCGGUGAAAUGCGUAGAGAUCUGGAGGAAUACCGAUGGCGAAGGCAGCCAUCUGGCCUAAUACUGACACUGAGGUGCGAAAGCAUGGGGAGCAAACAGGAUUAGAUACCCUAGUAGUCC